UUGCUUGUGCUACAGGAAACCUGACUGGAGUGCGAAAGAUGAGGAGGUGCAUGAGUGCAGUGGUGGUUCAGUAACAGAGCCAGUCCUCCUGAUCCCCCAAAAAGGGGAAUCCCAAGGAUAAGGACCAGAGCCUUGAGGGAGAGAAGGCCCUUGAGGAGCGUGGUUGAGUGUCUUCUUGUUCCCAGGUGACCACAGGAAGGUCCUAAAACUGAGGACAGAGCCACCAGAGCUUACCAGAGCCCAGAAUUUAUAUUACUAGUCAUUAGAAGGAUGAAUGUUCCAGUCUGCUGAAGAUUUUGAAAUCUGAUGCUUCUGAAGAGGAAUAAACUUGAAUGUUUUAAAGUGUCACAAAGAUGGACUUUGGAAAAAAUACUUUAGAUCCAGCAGGAAAUCUGCCCACUUACACUUUAGAGGUAUUGAUGGAGUCUUAUCUGUCAAAUCAGAUUCAAGAUCAGAAUGUACCAGUACAAUAAUCUAAACUGUCUUUUUGUAUAACACAAGUCAAAGAAACUCAGAUACUCUUUCCUUAUGAACCCCCAAGCAUCUGUUGUAUCCACAAGAUAUUUUUUUUAUUCAGAAAAAAAUUAAAUUAAGGAUCACACAUUAUGAAGAAUUCAUCAGAGCACUUGUUAAUUUGUUCUGUAGUUAAUCCUCCUAAUGCUUAAAAAUGUGCCUUAUUUAUAGAUGGAAUUUAUCUAGCUCCUGGAUAUCAGCAUGCUUUUUAACUUCUGGAGUAUAGGGUAGUUGUCUACAGCAAAUCCUUUUUUCUAUAUGGGCUCUUGUAGAUCAUG
This is a long non-coding RNA of Pezoporus flaviventris, 791 nucleotides long. RefSeq lists it as uncharacterized. The record is from RefSeq and is a predicted model, not a curated record. The transcript has 3 exons. NCBI's taxonomy places the organism in Eukaryota, Metazoa, Chordata, Aves, Psittaciformes, Psittacidae.